GCUCAGUUCAGAUCGUAGGCUGCAACUCGCCUACGUGAAGGCGGAAUCGCUAGUAAUCGCAGGUCAGCAUACUGCGGUGAAUACGUUCCCGGGCCUUGUACACACCGCCCGUCACACCAUGGAAGUUGGCCACGCCCGAAGCCGUUACUCCAACCCUUGUGGAGGAGGACGUCGAAGGUGGGGCUGAUGACUGGGGUGAAGUCGUAACAAGGCAUCCGUACCGGAAGGUGCGGAUGGAUCACCUCCUAACAGGGAGACAACACAAUGAUUUUGAUGCCUGAGUACUUUUAUUCUUAGGCCGAAAUCCUGUCACCUUAGGUCGAUCGGUACCUCAGCUUUGAAGUCAAGGAUCAGCAGCAAUGUUGAUUGCUUGAUGGAGAUUUUCAGUUCCUAAACUUUGUCUAGGUCACACCCCAAAAGGGAUGAGACUCCUGGGCCAUUAGCUCAGGUGGUUAGAGCGCACCCCUGAUAAGGGUGAGGUCCCUGGUUCAAGUCCAGGAUGGCCCAUUCGGUGUUGGGGGUUUAGCUCAGUUGGUAGAGCGCCUGCUUUGCAAGCAGGAUGUCAGGAGUUCGAGUCUCCUAACCUCCACUGACCGAACUUGAUUCCCAUCUCCAAUUUUUUGGAGUUGAGCUCGAUUGGAGUGUGAUUUAGAUGCGUCCGCUGGAUGACCCCAGCUUCCUGUCAUUCCAAGUUUUAGGUUAAUGCCUUGAAUUUGGUUGAUAAGAUGCUGGGCUCGGAUC
Molecule: unclassified non-coding RNA, 741 nt
Filed under: uncultured Synechococcus sp.
Lineage: Bacteria; Bacillati; Cyanobacteriota; Cyanophyceae; Synechococcales; Synechococcaceae
Description: partial contains 16S ribosomal RNA and 16S-23S ribosomal RNA intergenic spacer
Rfam family: Bacterial small subunit ribosomal RNA (bases 1-249)
Source: RNAcentral